This 253-nucleotide ribosomal RNA is filed under the name uncultured bacterium. RNAcentral's name for it is "partial 16S ribosomal RNA". It matches the Rfam family "Bacterial small subunit ribosomal RNA", at positions 524 to 776 of the family's 1533-position model. The record is from RNAcentral.
UACGUAGGUGGCAAGCGAUACUCGGAAUCACUAGGCGUAAAGCGCAGGUAGGAGGUUUAGUAAGUCUGUUGUGAAAGCUCCCGGCUUAACUGGGAGAGGUCAACGGAAACUGCUAGGCUAGAGUGCGGUAGAGGUAGCUGGAAUUCCCGGUGUAGCGGUGAAAUGCGUAGAUAUCUGGAGGAACACCGGUGGCGAAGGCGGCAUCCUGGACCGGUAUUGACGCUGAGGCGCGAAAGCCAGGGGAGCAAACGGG